Molecule: non-coding RNA, 88 nt
Filed under: Sus scrofa (pig)
Lineage: Eukaryota; Metazoa; Chordata; Mammalia; Artiodactyla; Suidae
Source: RNAcentral
GGUGAGGCAGGCGGGAGGCGGGUGUGAGACCCUGGGCCGGCCAGGUGGACGCGCUCACUCACCCUCUGCCCGCUCUCUGUCUUACAGC